GAGCGGUCAACAUUUCUAGCUUGCUAGAAGAUGACGAGCGGCGGACGGGUGAGUAAUGCUUGGGAACAUGCCUUUAGGUGGGGGACAACCAUUGGAAACGAUGGCUAAUACCGCAUAAUGUCUACGGACCAAAGGGGGCUUCGGCUCUCGCCUUUAGAUUGGCCCAAGUGGGAUUAGCUAGUUGGUGAGGUAAUGGCUCACCAAGGCGACGAUCCCUAGCUGGUUUGAGAGGAUGAUCAGCCACACUGGAACUGAGACACGGUCCAGACUCCUACGGGAGGCAGCAGUGGGGAAUAUUGCACAAUGGGCGCAAGCCUGAUGCAGCCAUGCCGCGUGUGUGAAGAAGGCCUUCGGGUUGUAAAGCACUUUCAGUWAKGAGGAAAGGUUAGUAGUUAAUACCUGCUAGCUGUGACGUUACYUACAGAAGAAGCACCGGCUAACUCCGUGCCAGCAGCCGCGGUAAUACGGAGGGUGCGAGCGUUAAUCGGAAUUACUGGGCGUAAAGCGUACGCAGGCGGUUUGUUAAGCGAGAUGUGAAAGCCCCGGGCUCAACCUGGGAACUGCAUUUCGAAACUGGCAAACUAGAGUGUGAUAGAGGGUG
This 601-nucleotide ribosomal RNA is filed under the name Pseudoalteromonas sp. ME1-04. RNAcentral's name for it is "bacterial SSU rRNA". It matches the Rfam family "Bacterial small subunit ribosomal RNA", at positions 64 to 660 of the family's 1533-position model. Lineage: Bacteria; Pseudomonadati; Pseudomonadota; Gammaproteobacteria; Alteromonadales; Pseudoalteromonadaceae. The record is from RNAcentral.